This 490-nucleotide long non-coding RNA is filed under the name Brassica napus (rape). RNAcentral describes it as "long non-coding RNA (BNAP_LNC002959)". The record is from RNAcentral. Lineage: Eukaryota; Viridiplantae; Streptophyta; Magnoliopsida; Brassicales; Brassicaceae.
UUUCUACUAUUUUCAAUCACACUUUUACUUUUUAUAAAUCAUAAUAUCUUCUUAAAUCUGACUUUAGUUUAUCGGAACCAAUCCAACCCCAAACUUUCACUAACAAGAGUUUCAAUUUGGGUUUGCUUUAUUCACAUACUACAACAUAUUUCAAUCAUUUGCCAGAUUAGGCAAUAGUGAUGAAGCAUUGGUAGCUAAGGCAUCAACAUUUUCGAUGAUGGCUACUUUGAUUGUAGGCCAGUAUUGACGAUCGAUAUGAGGUGUAUUCUGCGCUGUAUGAUAAUAAUAUCAAUUAAAUAAAUUGAUAGAAACGUAAUGUUGGAUAUGUCCAUUUCAUUUGAGUUGUAAUAUAUUUGGUUUUUAACAAUUAUAUAGAUGUUGCGGUUGCUUAAUCUUAUGUCCAUUCGUUUUCGCUGUUGUCCAGUCCAUUUCAUCUACCUACAUCCACUGAUUGUUGCCAAAUGAUUCUAACUUUCUAAGCUUAAUAAUG